Molecule: long non-coding RNA, 912 nt
Organism: Homo sapiens (human)
Lineage: Eukaryota; Metazoa; Chordata; Mammalia; Primates; Hominidae
Gene: PCBP1-AS1
Product: PCBP1 antisense RNA 1
Source: Ensembl
GAACACAAAAUGGCGACACGUGGUUAGCAUUCGUCGCCAACGAGAAAUUGGGGUCGGCCCGAAAGCUCUAGAAUGCACCCCUCUUCCUCCCCGGGGCCUUCCACCUCCGCGAGUUUUAUGACUUAAAAAAGCCCACAGGCUGGUCUGAAGAGGAAGACAAACAUAAAGAUGAAGUGCUUAAUUCAAGGUCACACAAUGUCGGGGAUGGACCUCCAGAUUUCCUUACUGGAAAACAAGCUCAGGGCUCCCACUGAUUGUACAUUAUGGUGAGACGUGGUCUUGUAACACAGUGGUUAAGAAUGUGACUUUGGAGCCAGCCUGCUAGGGGCUGAAUUCUGACUCAGCCAUUUACUAACUGUGUGACCUUAGGUCACAGAAUUUUCCACACUCCUUGACAGAGGUGCUUAACCCUUAUCCAUCAGCAUUCUCAGACAGCACCUCCGGUUAGGGACAGUAUCUGACCGUCCGACAUCCCUGCAGCCCCCAUGUGUCACACAGACUCAGCCUCAGGUAGAUGGUUUCCGUAGAUGGUGGCUUUCUUUGGACCCUUGACAUCAACCAGUUACUAUUUGACUCUUCUGCAGAACCCCAUGUUGACCCCUGCUUUGAGGUGGCAGAGUUAACACUACUCUUCGUUAUAAGCUCUCGUCUGGGGCAACUCAGAAGAACCUCCUGCAACCACCGCUGUACUUUCUGUCUCUAUGAACUUGACUACUCUAGACACCUCAUCUCAGCAAGGCCCACAUUUUCCCGGUGAAGCCACAGAACCACAGGGAGAAACCCAUGGACUUCGCCUCUCUCUCUAGGGGACCAGAUGUGCAGAGGUAAUGAAUACCAGGGAAUCAGGAAACCACUGGAUCAGUUCUUUGAGCCACAGAACAACACUCAUCCCAGCAGCUGGGAAGCUAUCUG